This 253-nucleotide ribosomal RNA is filed under the name uncultured microorganism. RNAcentral describes it as "partial 16S ribosomal RNA". It matches the Rfam family "Bacterial small subunit ribosomal RNA", at positions 524 to 776 of the family's 1533-position model. The record is from RNAcentral.
UACGUAGGGUGCGAGCGUUAAUCGGAUUUACUGGGCGUAAAGCGUGCGCAGGCGGCCCGUUAAGACAGGUGUGAAAUCCCUGGGCUCAACCUAGGAAUUGCGCUUGUGACUGGCGGGCUCGAGUACGGUAGAGGGGGGUGGAAUUCCUGGUGUAGCAGUGAAAUGCGUAGAGAUCAGGAGGAACACCGAUGGCGAAGGCAGCCCCCUGGGCCUGUACUGGCGCUCAUGCACGAAAGCGUGGGGAGCAAACAGG